UUAAGAUGUACGCCGGCUUCAAUCUGUC
RNAcentral lists this non-coding RNA (28 nucleotides) under Bombyx mori (domestic silkworm). The record is from RNAcentral. Lineage: Eukaryota; Metazoa; Arthropoda; Insecta; Lepidoptera; Bombycidae.